GACGAACGCUGGCGGCAUGCCUAACACAUGCAAGUCGAACGGGGGUAGCAAUACCCUAGUGGCGAACGGGUGAGUAACACGUGAGCAACCUGCCUCAUACACCGGGAUAACAGUUGGAAACGACUGCUAAUACCGGAUAAGACCACAUCGGGGAGUCCCGAAGGGGUCAAAGUGAUUUAGCGGUAUGAGAUGGGCUCGCGUCCAAUUAGCUAGUUGGUGAGGUAACGGCCCACCAAGGCGACGAUUGGUAGCCGACUUGAGAGAGUGAUCGGCCACAUUGGAACUGAGAUACGGUCCAAACUCCUACGGGAGGCAGCAGUGGGGAUAUUGGGCAAUGGAGGAAACUCUUACCCAGCAAUGCCGCGUGAGUGAUGAAGGUCUUAUGGAUUGUAAAGCUCUUUGAUUGGGGACGAAGAAAGUGACGGUACCCAAGGAACAAGCCCCGGCUAACUAUGUG
RNAcentral lists this ribosomal RNA (457 nucleotides) under uncultured bacterium. RNAcentral's name for it is "bacterial SSU rRNA". It matches the Rfam family "Bacterial small subunit ribosomal RNA", at positions 28 to 507 of the family's 1533-position model. The record is from RNAcentral.